RNAcentral lists this ribosomal RNA (430 nucleotides) under uncultured bacterium. Its description in RNAcentral is "bacterial SSU rRNA". It matches the Rfam family "Bacterial small subunit ribosomal RNA", at positions 29 to 507 of the family's 1533-position model. The record is from RNAcentral.
AACGAACGCUGGCGGCAGGCCUAACACAUGCAAGUCGAGCGAGACCUUCGGGUCUAGCGGCGGACGGGUUAGUAACGCGUGGGAACGUGCCCUUCUCUGCGGAAUAGCCACUGGAAACGGUGAGUAAUACCGCAUACGCCUUCGGGGAAAGAUUUAUCGGAGAAGGAUCGGCCCGCGUUAGAUUAGAUAGUUGGUGGGUAACGGCCUACCAAGUCUACGAUCUAUAGCUGGUUUUAGAGGAUGAUCAGCAACACUGGGACUGAGACACGGCCCAGACUCCUACGGGAGGCAGCAGUGGGGAAUCUUAGACAAUGGGCGCAAGCCUGAUCUAGCCAUGCCGCGUGUGUGAUGAAGGUCUUAGGAUCGUAAAGCACUUUCGCCAGGGAUGAUGAUGACAGUACCUGGUAAAGAAACCCCGGCUAACUCCGUG